This 991-nucleotide ribosomal RNA is filed under the name Halostagnicola larsenii. Its description in RNAcentral is "bacterial SSU rRNA". It matches the Rfam family "Archaeal small subunit ribosomal RNA", at positions 125 to 1116 of the family's 1478-position model. The record is from RNAcentral. Lineage: Archaea; Methanobacteriati; Methanobacteriota; Halobacteria; Halobacteriales; Natrialbaceae.
GAUACUCUCGGGAACUGAGGCUAAUAGUGCAUACGGCUCGGUGUCUGGAGUGACCCGAGUCAGAAACGCUCAGGCGCGAUAGGAUGUGGCUGCGGCCGAUUAGGUAGACGGUGGGGUAACGGCCCACCGUGCCAAUAAUCGGUACGGGUUGUGAGAGCAAGAGCCCGGAGACGGUAUCUGAGACAAGAUACCGGGCCCUACGGGGCGCAGCAGGCGCGAAACCUUUACACUGCACGCGAGUGCGAUAAGGGGACUCCAAGUGCGAGGGCAUAUAGUCCUCGCUUUUUCCGACCGUAGGAUGGUCGGCGAAUAAGUGCUGGGCAAGACCGGUGCCAGCCGCCGCGGUAAUACCGGCAGCACGAGUGAUGACCGCUAUUAUUGGGCCUAAAGCGUCCGUAGCUGGCCACGCAAGUCCAUCGGGAAAUCUCUCCGCUCAACGGAGAGGCGUCCGGUGGAAACUGUGUGGCUUGGGACCGGAAGAUCCAGAGGGUACGUCUGGGGUAGGAGUGAAAUCCCGUAAUCCGAGACGGACCACCGGUGGCGAAAGCGCUCUGGAAAGACGGAUCCGACGGUGAGGGACGAAAGCUCGGGUCACGAACCGGAUUAGAUACCCGGGUAGUCCGAGCUGUAAACGAUGUCUGCUAGGUGUGACACAGGCUACGAGCCUGUGUUGUGCCGUAGGGAAGCCGUGAAGCAGACCGCCUGGGAAGUACGUCGCAGGAAGAAACUUAAAGGAAUUGGCGGGGGAGCACUACAACCGGAGGAGCCUGGGGUUUAAUUGGACUCAACGCCGGACAUCUCACCAGCAUCGACAGUGUGCAGUGAAAGUCACUGUGAUGAGCUUACUGGAGCCACUGAAAUGAGGUGCAUGGCCGCCGUCAGCUCUUACCGUGAGGCGUCCUGUUAAGUUAGGCAACGAGCGAGACCCGCACCCUUAAUUGCCCCCUCACCCUUGAGGUGGUUGGGUACAUUAAGAGGACUGCCAGUGGGU